RNAcentral lists this ribosomal RNA (660 nucleotides) under uncultured bacterium. RNAcentral describes it as "bacterial SSU rRNA". It matches the Rfam family "Bacterial small subunit ribosomal RNA", at positions 61 to 717 of the family's 1533-position model. The record is from RNAcentral.
GUCGACGGCAGCACGGGGGCAACCCUGGUGGCGAGUGGCGAACGGGUGAGUAAUAUAUCGGAACGUGCCCUGGAGUGGGGGAUAACUAGUCGAAAGACUAGCUAAUACCGCAUACGAUCUACGGAUGAAAGUGGGGGAUCGCAAGACCUCAUGCUCGUGGAGCGGCCGAUAUCUGAUUAGCUAGUUGGUGGGGUAAAAGCCUACCAAGGCAUCGAUCAGUAGCUGGUCUGAGAGGACGACCAGCCACACUGGGACUGAGACACGGCCCAGACUCCUACGGGAGGCAGCAGUGGGGAAUUUUGGACAAUGGGGGCAACCCUGAUCCAGCAAUGCCGCGUGAGUGAAGAAGGCCUUCGGGUUGUAAAGCUCUUUUGUCAGGGAAGAAACGGUCUGGGCUAAUAUCCUGGGCUAAUGACGGUACCUGAAGAAUAAGCACCGGCUAACUACGUGCCAGCAGCCGCGGUAAUACGUAGGGUGCAAGCGUUAAUCGGAAUUACUGGGCGUAAAGCGUGCGCAGGCGGUUGUGCAAGACAGAUGUGAAAUCCCCGGGCUCAACCUGGGAAUUGCAUUUGUGACUGUACGGCUAGAGUGUGUCAGAGGGGGGUAGAAUUCCACGUGUAGCAGUGAAAUGCGUAGAGAUGUGGAGGAAUACCGAUGGCG